AUUAGAGUUUGAUCCUGGCUCAGGACGAACGCUGGCGGCGUGCCUAAUACAUGCAAGUCGAGCGCUUGCACAAGAAAGCUUGCUUUCUUGUUGCUUGAGCGGCGGACGGGUGAGUAACACGUGGGCAACCUGCCUAUAAGACUGGGAUAACUUCGGGAAACCGGAGCUAAUACCGGAUAAUGCUUUUGAACACAUGUUUGAAAGCUGAAAGAUGGUUUCGGCUAUCACUUAUAGAUGGGCCCGCGGCGCAUUAGCUAGUUGGUGAGGUAACGGCUCACCAAGGCGACGAUGCGUAGCCGACCUGAGAGGGCGAUCGGCCACACUGGGACUGAGACACGGCCCAGACUCCUACGGGAGGCAGCAGUAGGGAAUCUUCCGCAAUGGACGAAAGUCUGACGGAGCAACGCCGCGUGAGUGAUGAGGGUUUUCGGAUCGUAAAACUCUGUUGUUAGGGAAGAACAAGUACCGGAGUAACUGCCGGUACCUUGACGGUACCUAACCAGAAAGCCACGGCUAACUACGUGCCAGCAGCCGCGGUAAUACGUAGGUGGCAAGCGUUGUCCGGAAUUAUUGGGCGUAAAGCGCGCGCAGGCGGUUCCUUAAGUCUGAUGUGAAAGCCCACGGCUCAACCGUGGAGGGUCAUUGGAAACUGGGGAACUUGAGUGCAGAAGAGAAGAGCGGAAUUCCACGUGUAGCGGUGAAAUGCGUAGAGAUGUGGAGGAACACCAGUGGCGAAGGCGGCUCUUUGGUCUGUAACUGACGCUGAGGCGCGAAAGCGGUGGGGAGCAAACAGGAUUAGAUACCCUGGUAGUCCACGCGUAAACGAUGAGUGCUAGUGUAGAGGGUUUCCGCCCUUUAGUGCUGCAGCAACGCAUAGCACUCGCUGGGGAGUACGCGCAGCUGAAACUCAAAGAUGACGGGGCCGCACAGCGGUGGAGCAUGUGAUAUCGAGCACGCGAGACUACAGUCUGACAUCUCUGCUACCCUAGAGAUAGGGCGUUCCUUCAGGGACGAAUACAGGUGGUGCAUGGGUUCUCACCUGUUUCCUGAAGUUGGUAAGUCGCAAAGGCUCACCUGAGUUAACUGCGAAAUCAUGGACU
Molecule: ribosomal RNA, 1100 nt
Filed under: Cytobacillus firmus
Lineage: Bacteria; Bacillati; Bacillota; Bacilli; Caryophanales; Bacillaceae
Description: bacterial SSU rRNA
Rfam family: Bacterial small subunit ribosomal RNA
Source: RNAcentral